RNAcentral lists this ribosomal RNA (228 nucleotides) under uncultured bacterium. RNAcentral's name for it is "partial 16S ribosomal RNA". It matches the Rfam family "Bacterial small subunit ribosomal RNA", at positions 118 to 347 of the family's 1533-position model. The record is from RNAcentral.
UAGGAAUGUACCUUAAAGAGGGGACAACCUGGGGAAACUCAGGCUAAUACCGCAUAAUCUCUGAGGAGAGAAGCUAGGGACCGCAAGGCCUGGCGCUUUAAGAACAGCCUGCGUCCGAUUAGCUAGUUGGUGGGGUAAGAGCCUACCAAGGCGACGAUCGGUAGCUGGUCUGAGAGGAUGAUCAGCCACACUGGAACUGAGACACGGUCCAGACUCCUACGGGAGCAG